UGAGCCUCCUGCCUAUGGCGACCAGGCUCUCAAGACCGAGUACAGUAGCUAUGCCCGGCCCGGAGGUCACGGAGGCGCUCACGUCGAAGGUGAAUACGGUGGAAGGAAACCGGAGCAUGGCGGAUCUGGAUCUGAUUUUGGCCGGAAACCUGAAUCUGGGUAUGGCGGAAGAACGGAGGUCGAGUACGGACGGAGACCUGAAUCUGGGUAUGGCGGAAGAACGGAGGUUGAGUAUGGCCGGAAACCUGAAUCGGAGCACGGAUCUGGGUAUGGUGGGAGAAUGAAGUCUAAGGAAGAGGAAGAUGGAGACUACAGGAAGCCCAGCUAUGGCCAUCGCAAGGAUAAUGAUGAUGAUGAUGAGGAAGAGAGGCAUGGCUACAAAAAACACGUGAGUUUGAUUGGUUUUAAGGAAAAAUCGAAAUUUCUCAAUAUGUGUAGUUUCUACUUUGCAUCCAUAUUUUGUCGAAAUUUCUCAAUAUGUGUUGGAUUAUUUUGGAAUAUUCAUAGUCUAGAUAGAAUCUUUUACUGAUUUCAUUCAUUGACAUAUGUCUCAAAGAACAUCGCUUGAAACUUGAGAGGAGUCAAUUGAAUAACUUUUUUGCCUGAUUCUCUCACUGUUUACAAAAAUGGGUAAAGUUAGGUUUUUUGGAUGAAUUUUAGAGCCUUGAUCGUUAUUUUAAAUGUCGCAGAGUGGCAAGGACUCUGAUGACAAGAAGAAGGAGAAGAAGAAGGAUAAAGAU
RNAcentral lists this long non-coding RNA (740 nucleotides) under Eutrema salsugineum. RNAcentral describes it as "long non-coding RNA (ESAL_LNC000458)". Lineage: Eukaryota; Viridiplantae; Streptophyta; Magnoliopsida; Brassicales; Brassicaceae. The record is from RNAcentral.